UGGACUACUCGGGUUUCUAAUCCUGUUUGCUCCCCACGCUUUCGCACCUCAGUGUCAGUAUCAGUCCAGGUAGUCGCCUUCGCCACUGGUGUUCCUUCCUAUAUCUACGCAUUUCACCGCUACACAGGAAAUUCCACUACCCUCUACCAUACUCUAGCUUGCCAGUUUUGGAUGCAGUUCCCAGGUUGAGCCCGGGGAUUUCACAUUCAACUUAACAAACCACCUACGCGCGCUUUACGCCCAGUAAUUCCGAUUAACGCUUGCACCCUCUGUAUUACCGCGGCUGCUGGCAC
RNAcentral lists this unclassified non-coding RNA (293 nucleotides) under uncultured Pseudomonadaceae bacterium. RNAcentral describes it as "contains 16S-23S intergenic spacer region". The record is from RNAcentral. Lineage: Bacteria; Pseudomonadati; Pseudomonadota; Gammaproteobacteria; Pseudomonadales; Pseudomonadaceae.